CAUCAAAGCCUUCAAUCCAAGUUACAAAACCACUUCGAGAAACCUCUCCAAACUUUCCAACUCCGUCAAAAUGUCUCCCUGCUCUUGCAACUGCUGCAGCGGUAACUGCGCUAGCUGCUCCUGCUCCUCCUGCAGCGUAAGUAGCC
This is a small RNA of 146 nucleotides. It matches the Rfam family "A. fumigatus sRNA Afu_254". The record is from Rfam.